AAAGUGACCAAGCCAUGGAGUUGGACAUGUCAUAGGUGAAGGGAAGGGGUCGUGACUUCUCGCUUUGGACCUGCAACUUGCCCUAGUCGAUUAGGAUUUCUUGACAGACUGUCCAAAGUGAUUCACCGUGCAUAUUGAUGAAAGGUUGGGUUUCCCACUGUGAAAAUGUUCUCUUUCUAACGUAGGUUGCACGGGGUGUGUGUGUAGAUGGG
This is a long non-coding RNA of Molossus molossus (Pallas's mastiff bat), 212 nucleotides long. RefSeq lists it as uncharacterized. The transcript is spliced from 3 exons. The record is from RefSeq and is a predicted model, not a curated record. NCBI's taxonomy places the organism in Eukaryota, Metazoa, Chordata, Mammalia, Chiroptera, Molossidae.